This is a long non-coding RNA of Sapajus apella (tufted capuchin), 1987 nucleotides long. RefSeq lists it as uncharacterized. NCBI's taxonomy places the organism in Eukaryota, Metazoa, Chordata, Mammalia, Primates, Cebidae. The record is from RefSeq and is a predicted model, not a curated record. The transcript is spliced from 3 exons.
CUGGGAGCUACAAUCCUGAGCUGCUAGUAAUCAGCCAUCCUGGAUUUCUCUCCUGGUCACAGUUCCCUGAAAAGAAACUUUGGAUCUUGAGAUGAAAAAAGAUCUAUUAGGUCAUCUUGUCCAUCUUACCGCCAGCAGAGAAUUGCUCCCGACAGUAAAGAAGUUAACUUAUUGACAGCACUCUUUAAGCAGCAAUUUACCAGGGAUUCCCAACCUCCAGGCCAUUGAAAAGUACUGGAGCCAUGGAACCAGACCACACAGCAGGAAGUGAGCAGCAGGCAAGAGACCAUUACGGCCUGAAUUUCACCUCCUGUCAGGUAAGAGGUGCCACUAGAUUCUCAUAGAAGCAUGAACCCUAUUUUGACCUGCAUGUGCAAAGGAUCUAGAUUGCACAUUCCUCAUGAGAAUUUAAUGUCUGAUGAUCUGAGGUGGAACAGUUUCAUCCCAAAACCAUUCCCUCCCAACCCUCACCCACCCCAGUCUGUGGAAAAAUUGUCUACCAUUAAACCUGGCCGUGGUGCCAAAUGUUGGGGAUGUAUGUUCUAUAUGAAGAAUGAUCUAGAAGAAAAAAGCAAAAAUGACUACAAUUUCAUGUCUUAGAUUGAGCUAAUAUCAGCAAGUAAUGCAACAAAUUAAAAGAAGAAGGAGACAAAAAGUACUUAAUUUCAUUUUAUGCAUGGUGAGUGUGAGGUUCUUAGGAAGAUACCUAGAGACAGAUUUCUUGUGGAUGUUGUAAUAUGGAACUUAAAAGAAGAAAAGAUAUAAAUUUAGGAGUUGCCAUCAGGUAAGAAAGAAAUGACGAUGUGAGAGAUUUCAGGUAGCUUACAACAAAGCAUUUCCUUGAAAUAUUCCAGAUCAAGUUUUGUAGUAUAUUAAUAAGUAUUCAGCUACAAAAGAAUAACACAUGGAGGCUAUACUGACAAUUUCAGUAACUGACAGGCUUUCAUAAUUUUUUAAAAGAUUAGCCAUAACGUAUUCAAAAGUCAAAAAUUCAGGAAGAUUUCUUCCAAUUUAUUUUCCUUUUUCAAGGAGGAAAUAAUUAUUCUUAUGUCACUGAUCAUGCUUUUGGUGACUAAUAUGACUUGGUGGGCCUAUUUUAUUUGGAAGAAGGAUAAAAUAUGCCAUUGUUCUUUAUUUAUUUCAAAGUGCAUAUGUAUUUUAACGGCAUUUUAUGUUCAAGCAUGGAAGCAUUUCCAUGUUAGCUGACUGUGCAGGGGAGGUGAAGUCAGUUAAACUCUUGGAUUAGACGUGAACUGUCAACAGAGAGUAAAUAGGGCCCCCUCUGCCCAGGGGCCAAUAACUGAUAUAAGCAAUUAGCACCUACUUCCACAUGUGGAUUAGUAGGUUUCUUAGCAUAACUGAAAACAGCCUCACUAAUUCAUGGUAGAAAGUGGAAAGAUGUGCCAACUACUGUAUGUGCUACUGUAUGUGCUUAAUGAGUGUUUGAGCAGAAUAAAAGGUGGGCAUCUUUAACAAGUAUAUCACCUUUCAUAGCGUAUGAUCACUGAAACAAAGAAAACUACAUUUUACACGUUCUCAGGCAGGCAUUAGAUUCAUAUUUUAGGUUGACAAUAAAAUCAAGGAGAUAGCAUGUCAUAAUUCAAGAUUUUUGAGAUAAAGGAGUUAUGUUAUAAUGCUAUUUUUAAUAUUUUGUUUCUUCUUUUCUUUUAAAAACCAUAUUAUAUUUUCUAAUACAAACUUUUGUAAACUCUAGUAGGAAUACCUAAUAUUAAAUGUGAGCAUAUCAUUUAUGCUCUGGCAUAACUUACAGAUACUAAGCAACAACUCAGGAAAUACAUGUCUAUAUUAAUUCUUUUCAGAGAGAAAAAUAUAUUUUUUAACUUUUUUAUGUAUUGUAAUUUGAGAGAUAUAUAAAUAUCACCUUGCACUUGGCUGGGUGGGGUGGCUCAUGCCUGUAACCCCAGCACUUUGGGAGGCCAAGGCCUCCUGAGGUCAGGAGGUCGAAACCAGCCUGGCCGACAUGGUG